This 1005-nucleotide ribosomal RNA is filed under the name Triticum aestivum (bread wheat). Its description in RNAcentral is "partial small subunit ribosomal RNA". Lineage: Eukaryota; Viridiplantae; Streptophyta; Magnoliopsida; Poales; Poaceae. The record is from RNAcentral.
AUGGAAGACGAGUUCAGGCAAGGGACCGGACCCAGGCGAUUCCGCUACAGCGAGCUGGCAGCUGCCACGGACAACUUCUCGGAGGCCAAGAAGCUCGGGGAAGGUGGGUUUGGCCCAGUGUACAGGGGAUUCUUGAAGGGCAUGAAAAUCGAGGUGGCUAUCAAGAGAGUGUCCAAGGGCUCUAAGCAGGGGAGGAAGGAGUACGCCUCCGAGGUGAGGGUAAUAAGCCGGCUUCGGCACCGCAACCUCGUGCAGAUCAUUGGCUGGUGCCACGCCGGCUGCGAGCUCCUCCUGGUCUAUGAGCUCAUGCCCAACGGCAGCCUCGAUCUUCACCUUUACAGUGCGGACAAUGUACUAUGGUGGCCAGACAGGCAUAGGAUCGUGCUGGGGAUCGGCUCUGCGCUUCUCUACCUGCAUCAAGACUGGGAGCAGUGCGUCCUGCACAGGGACAUCAAGACGAGCAAUGUGAUGCUGGACGUAUCGUUCAAUGCCAAGCUCGGCGACUUCGGGCUCGCUAGGCUCGUCGACCACGACAGAGGGUUGCACACGACGGAGCUCGCCGGCACGCUGGGGUACAUGGACCCCGAGUGCACCGUCACCGGCAGAGCCAGCACCGAGUCGGAUGUCUACAGCUUCGGCGUCGUGUUGCUUGAGAUCGCGUGCGGACGGAGACCUACCACGGCUCGACCCGACGGCACGCUCAUCCACCUGGCACAGCGGGUGUCAGAGCUGCACGGGCAAGGGAGGAUACUCGACGCGGCCGACCCACGGCUGGAUGGCAACUUCGAUCUCCAAGAGAUGGAGCGCGUGCUGGUCGUCGGCCUCUGGUGCGCGUGCCACGACCAGAGCCUAAGGCCGUCCAUAAGGCAGGCCGUCAACGUCUUACGGCUGGAGGCGCCGCUCCCCGAGAGGAUGCCGCCGGUUGGCCAAGCGGCCGGCCCUCUUCUCAUGCCGGACUUCGAUAGUACGGGUCACAGCUCCAGCUCCACUCAGCAGCUAAUAUGA